This is a long non-coding RNA of Homo sapiens (human), 13479 nucleotides long. RefSeq lists it as uncharacterized. NCBI's taxonomy places the organism in Eukaryota, Metazoa, Chordata, Mammalia, Primates, Hominidae. The transcript is spliced from 2 exons. The record is from RefSeq and is a predicted model, not a curated record.
CCAGGCUGGUCUUGAACUCCUGUGCUCAAGCGAUCCGCCCGCCUCAGGCUCCCAAAGUGCUAAGAUUACAGACCUGAACCACCGCGCUCAGCUUAAAUGUAUCUCUUUGAAAUAUCAACAUAGAUUCUCUUCCGUUCCCUCAGUCUGUAUCUCUUUCAACAGGAGAAAAUUUGUAAUUUUUUUUACUGUGGAAAAUUUCAAACAUACACUAAAGAAGAGAACUGUGAAUGUGUCACUCUGCUUCAAAAACAAUCAAUUCUCACCAAUUUGGAUUAUUUUGCAGCAAGAUUUUUAAAAAAGUUUAGGAAAAUUAACGGCAGAGCUUUUCGUUUAUUUGGCAGAUGGGAAUGAUUUAGCUGAAAGAAAAACUGAUGAUAAUACUAAAAGUAUUUUUUAUAUUAUGCUUCUACUUAGGCAUAAUUUCGUGACAAAUGUUUGAAGUGCUGGUCAUGUUACCAAUACAUUUUUAGGUUUACAUUUGAAUUUUUCUAAUUUCUUUAUUUAUUCCUUUUUCUUGGAUCCCAUGCAUUCCUCUUUUGGAUCUCUGUUUUGGAUUUUUUUUCCUAGAAGAUAUCUUCUAAUAAUUCUUAGAAGCAAGAACAGAAAAGUUCUUGUUUGAUAAACUUUCAGUGAAUAAUAUUUUCCCUAUUAGUAGAAUUUUAGUUUAAAAUAAUUGUUUUUUCCUGGUAAAAAUGCUAAUUAGAACAACAUCAUUUUCUCUCUUAACUUCGAAGUCAUUACUUUUUGUCUUCUUGCAUCUGGGGUUACUUCUUCCAUUGUAGGUAAACUGUUUUUCUUAUUAGUUUUGGGGUGCCCAGUAAUUAAUUUAUAAGCAAAGUUGUUUGUAAUGUAUUAAACCAACAGAGAGAAAUUCAUAGUGCUGAUGUGCCUGAUUUUAAAUAUUUACUUGAAGACAUGCAAGCAUGAAUUAAGCAAUAAUUCAGAACUAAGGGAUUCAUGAUCUACAGAUUUCUCCCCUCACUCAGUUCUGAGCCCCCUAAAUGAGGCCUCCACAUGGGUUAUUUGUUGUCUGAGGGAUUCUACUCCUGUGGGAAGAGCUUUGGUCCCAUGGGGUCUCAAGCGAACAUUUUUCUUCUAUCUUUAUUCCUUUUCCACUUGUGAGGAAUGUAUGUUUCAAGCUCUGUCCUUCGCUCCCAAAAUUCAGAAGUGUCUUUUCUUGUUUAAUAAUUGCUUAAAGCAAUAAUUGUGCCAUUCUGUUCUAAUGCUUCUAACAUUGGCUAAAUAUUUUGCAAAGGGAGCAAGGGGGUAUGGCUGGGGAGAGGGAGGAGGGGGAAAGAGAGAGAGAGAGAAAAUCCCAUGCCAUUAGCUCCUUCCACUAGGGUUUCCCUCUUUCCAUUUAUUGCUUCAGAAGCGCUUCAUUAUUUUCCUUCUGUUCCCUUCUGUUUUGAAAUAAUGCCCCUUCUGUGUCACUUUUCUUGAAGAAUUUGUCCUCUUUCCAAUUGGCUGAAGCUAAAAACUGAAAAUAAUGGAAGGGCUAAAGUUAUAUUUUCAGUUUCUGGUAUUAAGGGUGUGAAUAAGUAAGAAAGAAAAUACAAUCUAGAUUUGUUUUUAAUGAGAUGGGUGCAGUUUUUACUUCUUCCCUAGUAGAAUAUCAGAGGGAGACAGAACUGAGAGCCACGAAAUGAGGCCUCAAGCCCGGAAUAACAAUAAUUGUGUUAUGUUGUCUACUCCGGACUCACUGCCUCCCAUUCCAGGAUCCAUACUGCUAUUUUCAUAACACUCUAAAUGAUUUCACAUCUGUAAGUAAUUAGUUGCAAAAUAAUCUGUCUUGGGACUGUGGGUGAGAGAAGGGUUGGGCAAUAGAAGUUCCAACUGUGGUCUAACAAUGUGUAAAUCAUGUAUUCCUUCAUUCUGCUUUGUCUGCUUAUCAACUGUAAAUACAUUACACUGGUAAAGGCUAGUCCUGCAAAACAUAGCCCUUUGAGAAGCUCAGUAUUGAUGUGAUCCGCCAUAAUGGCACCACCAGCUUCACAGUUUACAAAGCCCCGCCCCUGAUAUUAUCAGAAUUCUUUUUCACAGCAACCCUGAGAGAUAGGCGAGGGUAAGGUUUCCAUCUAAUGUGUGAGGAACCUGUGGCGAAGUCAGUAGAUGACAUGAUAUGUUUUGUUGUUUUCUUGCAAACAUUUUAACAGUUCAUUAACUAUAGUAAUGCGCAUACGGAGGAGUGCAGGAAAUUAUAACGACAGAGAUUGAUGAAUUGUCACAAAGAGAACACUCUCAUGGAAUCAGUACCCAGGUCAAGAAACAGAACAAUGUAACACUUUCGUGCCCCCUUCCAGUCACCACCCCCAGGGGUGACCACCAUGCUGACUUCUAAAUAGGUGACAGGAUUAUUCAAGUUAAUUUUGUAUGGCAUGUGGACCAGGACCUUGCAACACAUGGAUGUGUUAUAGAGGGUCUGCUUGAUGCAUUUAGGAAUACAUCUUUACAUGAAAAGCAAGGCACAUGAGGAAUCAAUAAGGGAUGAAAAUUGCCCAACGUGAAGAAAGCUCAUCUGAGGAGACUAAAUAACAGGCUCCAGUGGAUGAAGGCUGAAUGUGUGUGUGGAAUAUUAUAGGAAAUGUUAUCUAUUGCUAUCAAGAACUGAUGAAAAGUUUACAUAGAAAAAGGAAAAUAUGUUUCUUUCAUGUUUAGAAAUUUGUGGACGAGGAGAAAUCCAUUUCUUUCUGUGGACAUUUUAAAAUUUAGGCUGUAAGUGCUCAUUGAAAGAUAACUUUGGUUUAAUCUUAACCAGAGGCAAGGAUUUGUGAUUUUUCAAGAGUGUUUCCUUUCCCACCCUGUGCCUGGCUGAGCAUUUCUGUCCAUUUCCAUGGGAAGACUGCAUUGUGUUCCUUUAAGGGAAAUGAUGUUUCGCUGGAAAAGGGAGGCUGUGUCUAUUUUACUUCUUUCCCUAGGACAUGAGUGAGUCGCCAGACAUGAAGGCUUUGCCUGUGAAUGUGCUGCCUCUCUCUGGGAUGGGCAGAGCUGAAGACCAACAGUAAUUGCUCCAGCUGGUAUCUGCAUCUGGUGGAUUUUGGAAGCUUACUCUCCCAUGUCCUCAGCACUAUUCUGCUAUUCCUGGGUAUGGCAUCUCCAUACCAAUCUGAAAACAUAAGAGAGCUCGAAGAAAAGCAUAGACUCAGAUGCAAUAAUCACUUGGGGUAAAUAUUCUAAACAUUUUUUUUGAACCAGCCAUUGUUUAAUCACCAUGAAAUAUGGUCACUUAUCUCCAAAGGGAAAUAUUUAGAAUACAAACCUCUCUUGCUGUCACCUGGCAUACAAGGAAAUGCAGUGAUGUUUCCAUUCAAGAAGUGCCUAGAUCAAGCCUUUCCUGAACAACAGGAAAUGGAAUCUUGACACCCUGUUACACCUUAGACCAUCACACUCUCUUGCAACUCUGAAGAGGAAAAGGAAGAUUUAAACUUUAAGACAUUUAUUUAUAGCAUUUGAAUUAUAAAUGUGAGUUAUUUAAAAAGACAUUUUUAAAAAUGUACAGAAAAGAAAAGUAACUAAGUAAAAUAACAAAAUCUCCUUAACCUCAUGACUCUUGCCUUAAACAAACAAUAAAUACAGUUUUAAUGGAAGCCUGGCUCAAUUGAAUUGUAUGUUUACAGUUCUCUGAGUGAACAGCCUUGGGUAGCCACCAUCCAGAGCAGUGGAGACAUCACCAGUCCCAGAAGUCCCUGAUGUCCCUUCCAGUCACGACUCUGUCCCCUCGCCUAGGUAAUCAAUCACUAGCCUGCCUCCUCUUCUAACAUCUUUAAAUACUUUUGACUUUUUUUUUCAAUUUUUUUUUAAUUUUGAAAAUUUCAAAUUAGGUUAACUGAAAUAACAGUACAAUGAACACUCAUAUUUUCCUUACCCAGAUUCACUGAUUGCUAACAUUUUGCCGUAUUUUCUUAUUUCUCUGAACCAUUCUAAAGUUGUAAACAUCAUGUUUUCCCCCAAAUGCUUUAUCAGUUAUCACCUUAAAACAAAGACGUUCUCCUGUAUAACCCCAAUACCAUUAUCACCCUCAUAAAAUUAAUCAUUGAUGAAGCAAUGCAGUUAUAAUGGUCAGAUUUCCCCAAUCAUUUCAAAAAUUGUAUAGUUUUUUAAAAACUACAUAUGAUAUAAUGAGUCAUCUCCUAUAAUUUAAUUGCUUGACUUCAUUUAGUCUCCUUUAAUCUGGAAUAGUCUUUCUGCUCUCUCUUUGUUUUUUAAUAAUGGCAUUUUUCAUGUCCAGGCUGUUUGUGUAAAAUAGCCUUCAAUUUGAAUUUGUCUGGCUGUUUCUGAAUGACUCAAUUCAGAUUAAAUAUUUUGGCCAAAAUACCCCUAGUGAUGCCAUGGGUUACAUUUCCUGAGGCAGGGUGUUUUUUUUCUCCCAUACCUCCAAGUUUACUUGUUAUUUAAUUAAGACUGGGGUGUUCACAUUUUCUCAUGCUUCAUUAUUGUUUGGGGAGGAAGAAUAUUCAUCAGCUAAAAGGUUUUUUAUGAUCUGCUUUCAUCUUCUAGUCACUUUGUAUGGAUAUGUUGCUAUUUACCCUUCAUUUUGAGAUGUUUUCUUUCCUGGAGCGGCCAGCAAUGACUGUCACAUGUAGACAGAGGUGAGGAGGUGAGGACCGGGUGAUACAUGAGGUUUCUGAAUUCAAGAGAUUCUUCUGUUUGUUUGUGAAGUGCAAUUUCCUUAAAAAUUGCCCUCCUUUUGGGGAGUGGCAGUUUGCCUUCUGGUUUUGUAAUUCUCUUGUUUUUCCAGUACUUUAAUUUCCAGUUCUUUCUUGUUUUUCUUCAACAUCAAAUCUCUGAAGGCCGCCCUUUCCAGUUAAUCCUUUUCCUACGGAACCCCUGGCUUCCCAAGAUACCUACCUCUGUUCCUGCAGACUUUCAAUCUCCUUCCUUGUGAUUCUCAGUAGCCAGUGCCCUAAUCCGCCACGUCUCACAACUGUGUUCAAUGUUUUCCCAUUUGGGAUGAGACAUUGUUUCCCUGGGGGGUGUUUUCCAUACCUACUCCUCUGCUUUCCUUUCUUCUUUUCUGCACUUUUUCUUCUGAAUUUGGUCAUUUAUUUACCUGUUUGGGCAUAAUUUGAAGUUUGGAGUAUUCUCUGUUCCGUAGUUAUGCUACAGGCAUGGGUUCUUGGUGGUUUUACUUGUUCAUUUUGUUGAUCUAUGUGGUUUUCGGGAAUAUUUAUGAAGAGAUUCAGAAUAUAGACUAUUUGUUUCCUUUUGAGUUUUAUUUCCUUUCCACCUUUUUUUCUGUUAUAAUUUUACAUAAUUGUCAUCAUGUGUCUAUUCAAUUUCUUUCUUUUUAACUUAAUAUCAUUUUAAUUUUCCCAAUUUCCUGUAGAUGCUAUCAUUAUUUGUCAAUGGGCCCAUAAUCUUUUUCCAAGUGGAGAUACCAUGCUAUAUUUUAUUACUUUUCUAUUGUUGGAUAUUUACAUUGGAAAAGGAUGAUUACAAGUGUGUUUGGCAUGAAGAGAUUUAGCUCAGGCCAUUUUGAGGGAUGAGCACUUGGCCCAGGAUAAGCAUAUAAUAAAUCUUUGUGGAAUCAAUGAUUCAAAAGAAAAAUAAAACUGAAUAACAUUGCCCAAAUGUGAAGAAAACUGAAGCAUCUUUUAAAAUGUCCAGUUAAAACAUAUAAAUCCCAUAUCCUAAAGGAAUUUCAUUAACUGUUUAGGACUUCACUUGGGGCCCACCAGAAAUAAAUGCUCUGGGAUUGUCAGAUUGAAUAAAGUUGAUAACUAAGGUGUUUGCUGGAGUCAGAAUGCAACAACUGUGUCUUAGAGUGAAGGUCAUGAAAAAGAACUUCAAUCUGAGGGUAACUUUUAUUCAGGGUGACUCUUGGGGAUAAGUAACCGCGUGACCUUGUCAGUUUGUUCUCCGUCCAUCGCAUGGGUGGUGAUGAUUGAACCAGAGAAAUGAAUGGGGCUUGUAGCGCUGGAUGUAUAUGGUCAGUCUCCAUAAAUCAUUUCUUCCAUUGUCUGAAUACAUUUGGGCAUCCACAGUAGUUUAUUUCCAAAGUAUAUAAAGAAGCAGAGGCCAAGGGUGUAAUCUUGGAGCUAUUUAAAUAGAGUGGUUCCAGUCAAGACAUGCAGCUGUUCCCAAUUAUUAGUCCAUAUAUUCUAGGUGCCAGGGAAAACCCACAAGUGUGUCACUCAAUUGAAUUUUAAAGUGACCUCCUGUUCAGAUGAAAAUCUCCUAGCUGUGUUUUUUUCCCUAAAGACUGGUCUCCUAUUGAACGAGUUAGCAACACUCUUGUUGUGAAUGAAUCAUUGCUACUGCCUAUAGAGGAAAUCUGGAUUGUUCCAUAGGGUUUUCAAGGAAUGUGAACUUACCUUCCAGGGAACCCUUUGUAAAUGCUGCUAGCCAAAAUCCUGAACACAAGGACAAGUUGGAAAUCUUCAAAAGGGCAAACUCUGAUGAGGGGGCGUGGUUUUAAUAUUUUAAAGGCAUGUGAGUUGUGUCAAAACAUGAUUCCAAGGAGUGCCCUGAUUCCUGGCACACUGUUUGAGAGUCCCUGUAGGCACACAGGACUUGUGGCUCAUUCUACUUAGGGAAGCAGAUAUUUCUCUCUCUGAAGCUUAUCACAGAUGACAAGAGUAGCGUGCUGCCAGAGCAGUCCCUGAAAAGUAAGAUCCCUUGGAGACGCAAAGGCCGUCUUCUAACACAAAACCUUACCAUGGGACGCCCAAGUGUCCCUUCCACCUGAUUUCAUCAACUGCCCAGCCAAAGAGCAAAAGCUCUGCAGUCACAUUGUCUGGGAUUACACCUUGGCUUUAUCACUUAUGUAGUGUGACCCUCAGGCAAGCUAGUUAGACUUUUUUUUUUUUAAAUCCCCAUUGUUCUAUCUGUAAAAUGGAGAUAAUAAACUACUAACUUAAUAGGGUUGUUGUGAAAAUUUAAUGAGGUUAUCCAUUUAAAGGGCUUAUCAAAUGUUCACGGCCAGUUUCCUCCUCCUUCUCCUUUCCAUCAUCACUGACCAUUGUCAUCCCUCACAAGGGAAAUAUGCAUGAAAUUAAAACCCUGCUUUUCUUUAUCUGAUUCCCUUUAUUGAAGUUAAUCCAUUUGCUGAACAGGGACUAUUUAAAUUAUUCAAGGCAAACUGUUUUCCUUUUUCUCCUUCCACAUGUGUAGAGAUUACAGGGAGAUGCCUGGGCCACUGUUUCACAAUCCACAAAGCUAAGGGUAUCGUUUUUUAGGCCAAUGGAAACAUCUCCUGGGGUCACUGGCCAAGCCAGAAUGUCACCCGCACAGUUUUCGAAACUGACUUUAGGUCAGUGAAAAAUUCCUCAUUGUAUGUACUUUCCUUAGGCAAUUUCAAGAAUUAAAGCUUGAGAAAAACACAUUUGGUGAAUAUCAAUGUAAAACAUGAAAGUGAUGUAUAUAAUUCUACAUGCCUCAGAGAGAUAUAGCAAUAGAAUAUUUAUUUCACAAAUAUGAACAAGGCCCAUUUAAUUAGUUGUCAGAGCUAGUGAGUUUAUGUCUUAAAGCACAUACGAAAGCUCUUUGAACAGCAGCACAGAGAGUUUAUUUAGUUGUUCUGUUUUACUGCGGUGAGGUGCCAAGCUGACUCCAGAGAAAUCUUGCCAUGUGGUGCCUAGGAGUCUAAGUCCUAAAUUGAAUGCCUCGGCUGCUCUCCGUCCUUCCCCUGUCAAGAGUAAGAAAGCAACCUCAAGAGAAGUGAGCCUUUUAUUUCACACAAGUGAAUUUCUGAUAGUUGAUGUUUAUGAUUGUUUUUACAUUACAGUUUUUAUGACUUAUUUUACUUAUUUUCUGUAAGUUUCCUCGAUUAUAUGUCCCUGAGUUCAGUUUUCCCCCUUUAUUCCCUCAGAGCUAACUGCAUUUGAUAUGCUAUCUUUUAUUAUGCAGAAGCCCUUUGAUCUCUACAGAGGAAAGGCGCCAUAUAAAUGCAGAAAUCCAUUAUAAUCAUACAGAAGAGUGGCUUUAUGGGUGAAGUCCAGCUUAGCAAAGCUGUUGGAUGGAAGAGUGUACUAGACUGUGGAAUGCUAAUGCCAAAGUGUCUACUCAGAUGGUGGCUGGUUUCAGGAGUUUAUUUUUCAAGUAUGCUUUCUUAUUGAAGUAAACAUACAUACAAAAAAGUGCACACAUCGUAAGUAUUCAGCCUGAUGAAUUUCAGCAUACUGAAUACACCCGUGUAACCAGCACCCACAGCCAGAAAAAGAACAUUGCAGUAUCCCUCAUGCCCCUUCUCAUUCCCUACACCCCCUAAGGUCACCACUGUUCUGACUUCUAUCACCAUAGAUUAUUUUCACUUGAUUUUGAACUUCAUAAAGCUCAAAUCACACAGAAUAUACUCUUUAGGACCUGGCUUUUUGUUCUCAGCACAGUGUGAGUGAUGUUCAUCUGUGCCGCAAUUCUUCAGGUCUUUUUGUUAUGUGAGAUUUUAUUGUACAAGUAUACUAUUUAACCAUUCUCCUACUGAAAGAUAUUUUAGUUGUUUCCAAUUUUUGGCUUACAUAUAGUGCCACUAUUAAUGACAUUUUUGUAUAUGUCUUUUGAUGAACAUAUGUAUGUAUUUAUUUUGGAUAGGUACAUACGAGUGGAAUUCCUGGGCCACCAAGUGCAUAUGCACAUGCUUGACGUUGGGAGAUAUUGCCAAACACUUUUCAGAAAUUGUUGUACCAAUUUUUGCUCCCAUCAGUGGUGUGUGAGUGCUCUGAUUGCUCCAUAACCUUACUGAGGGGCACCGGAUUAUCCGCCUGCCCCCAUUUGCCUCUUUGGCAUAGAGAUUAUUUUGAGCUAAAGGCCAUUAAGAACCAGCAGAUGCCGGAAAAGCUCUUAAAACAGGGCACGAGUUUUUCUGUUGUAAAGCAAAUUUACAUUUAUAAAGAAAAUUCCAUUUGUAGAAUGUCUUCCUCUCCCAUACCGGGAAGAGGAGGAUUCUUAACAACUCUUAUCAAUGGAGAAGGAGCCAACUUAAAUCCACUUAACAUACUUUAUUGAACAACCCUUGUUUACCAUACUUUUCCCAGUCAUCUUCCUGUAACUUGUCUCCCCUACCAAGAAGCCCCAAGCCUCUUUUCCUUUGUUUUGGCCUAAGAUGGUGUGUAAACCCAAGUUCUAACCACCCUUGGGACUCAUCACUGGGUACUCCCAUGUGUAAACCCCAUGCACAUGCGAAUAAACCUCUGUUUUUCUGUUGUUCAUCUGACUUUAGCCAGUCUAAUUUACAGUACCCCACUGGAGAACCUGAGAUGGUUAGAGGAAGAGAUUUUGUUUUGUUUUGUUUUCUACACUACUCACAUUGGCAUUGCCAGUCUUCUAAGUUUUAGCCAUUCUGUUGGAUGUGUAGGGGAGAAGCAGUAAUAUCUUUUCCUCACCUAUUGCAAGGUUCAUGGCUGAGACCUCUGUAAUAGAAACAGAUUAACAUGAGAAAAGCAUAACAAGUUUAUUUAAGUUUUACAUAACACUGAAGCAUCCAGAAAUGAAGCCCUGAAGAAGUAAAGAAAGCUGUGUAUUUUUAUGGACAGUCAUGCAGAAGUAUGAUUGGAGAAAAAAGGGUAUGAUCUACUGGCAACAAACGGGGGAACAUAGGCCUGUUUGUUCAGAUUCUUCUCUGUGUCUUCAUUUCUUAUAAGGAGGACUGAUGGAAUGAGGCUCUUGUAACUUACUUUAGAGGAAGGUUGAAUGAUUCUUUUAUGGCCUCCUUUAGGGGAGAAUGGCUGGAGAAGGUCAGAGAGAACUUCCCGCUUCUGCUGAUUUCUCAAAUGCCAACAUGCCAUAAUUUGGGGAUAGCAUGACCUGAUCCAUCUCAUUGUGGUUUUAAUUUUCACUUUUUUGAUAACUAAUGAUGCUGGUCACCUUUACCUAUGUUUAUUGGCGAUUCGUAUAUUUCCUUUUGUGAAGUGCCCAUUCACGUCUGUUAUCUAUUUUACUGUAAAGUUGCCUUUUCCUUAUUGGUUUAUGAGAGUUUUUAAAUUUAUUCUUGUGGGAAGUCCUUUGUCGGGUUUGCUAUCUGUAUCAUAGAUAACUCUUAUCCUUCCUGUGGCUUGGAUUUUACUUUCUUAAUAGUGUCUUUUGAUAACAAAAUUCUUAAUUUUAAUAUAUUCCAAUUUAUAUAUAUUUUUCCUGAAGGAAAAAUUAUUUAAUGCUUUUGUGAUCUAUUAAGAAAUUUUAUCCUCCUCCAAGUUGUGGAGCUAUUCUUCUGUGUUUUCUUCCAUAAGAGCUAUUGUUUUGUGUCUUAUAUUUAGAUCUACAAACCCUUUGGAAAUGAAUUUAUGUACAUGGUUUGGGAUGGGGGUCAAUAUUCGCCUUUAUUUCUACAUAGAUUUGCAAUUGCUCCAGCAUCUUUUAUUGAAAUUACCGCACUUUCUCCAUUGAAAUUUACUUUUGAAGCAAGUUCAAGGUCAAAAUCUUUAGUAGGGAGAUGACUCUCUUAUGCAUAGGUUUUCAGAUUGUUAUGCAUAGGCAUCACCAUGGAAUGUGUUUAAAAUAUAGAUACCUAGGCCACCCCCAGGGAUGCUGAUUCACUGCUGAUGAUUCUCAUGCCUUGAGGCCUGGCCCGUACUCCGAGGAUUGGUGCUUCACUCAGGACCACCCUCAGUCAAGCAGACUCUGCAUCUCUCUGCCUCAUUCAUCUAUGUACAGACACUGUGUCUCCUGUAGAUUAUUGUGGCAGCUACAAUCAGUUAACAAGUUAAUUUUGGGGAACUCUAUUUAUCCUACCAACUCAAAUAUUUUGCUCAAUUAAUAUUCUCUCAUUCCAUUAGUCAUUCAUCAGUACCUAUCAGUUAGUCAUUGACUUGAAUUUCAUGUGGGCAUUCCACCACUUCACUUGCCACCCCAUUCUGUUACUUAACAAAGUCUACUGCAAAGCACAUCCAUUGAGACAGCUUGAUUGUCUCCUUGUAUAGCUUGCCCCAUUGUCAUUUUGUCCUUCUCUUAGUAUCUGCGACAUUCAAUUAGCCUUUAUUGAACACCUACUCUUUGCCAAGCAUAUAAUCAACUUUUUAUCCUCAAGGCUAUUAGAGUCCCUUGUAGAAGUGUGGGCACUGACCAACUUCCUGACACAUGAGUACAGUGAACCGUGAUGUAUGCCAUAAAUGGGAGGGGUGUGUGCUUGCUCAGAGGAGGAAGCAAUUACCCCUCCUUGUAGAAGGUCAGAGAAGCCUAAGCAGUGGCGGUUGAGCUGGGUCUUAAAGAGUGUAUAGGAGUUCAGUGAAGGAUAAGUGGAUGAGGAUGAGGGUAUUUCAGGUAGAGGAAAAAGACAUAAAACAGCUCAGCAUGGUCGAGGAACUGCAGGUGAUUCUGCAUGUGUGCAUCCCCUCAGUAACUCAACAGCCCAUGUAAAUUGGGAGGCAGGAGCACUGUCCCACUGAGUUUCAAACAAAAGCCAUUCCAAACUGCCAGAUAAAAUUCCAGUUUAAAUUAGUGAAAUUUGUUGUGAGACAGCCUGUGCACUGCAGAUGCCUGUGGUCCUAGAAGAUAAAGUCUAUUUCCUUUUGAAGGACAUACAUGUAGAUCAACAUGGAAGGAGUAGCCCUUGACCAUCAGUGUAUGACUCCAUUGCAUAGUGCUUGCUGCAGAAUUGCCUUGCCUGUCAGAUGACACAGCCAGUGCUGAGGUGAGCUGGUAUCUACCCCGACCCUCCUUUGCCAGAAGUAAAGAUGAUGAGGGGGAGCCCCCUUACUGACCCUUGCUGGGGAUGGAUGGAUGGGUGAAGGCUUCUGACAACAGCCACCUUUCCCAAUGAGGUCAUGAGGACCUCAGUGCUGUAUGAUGGGGAAGGAUAUGGCUAUUUUUGUACCAUGGAUAAUAAAAGGGGAAAACCCUGCUAAUUUGACGUAAAAAAGAUUCAAAGUCAUAAAUAUCCCAAACUGAAAGCAAACCCCAGAAAGGCUAGUUUUGAAAUUGGAGGUAAUUAAUUCCUCAUGCGAUGUGCUGAAAUUCAACCCAGACAUCCCUUUUUUUUUUUAAUUUCUUUCAGACAGUUUACAGUCCAGUGGAAAGUAAAACCAUGCAAUCCCUUGGUGUGGUACAGUUUUACUAUGUGUCUCUUUUUAUUAUUUUGCUCAUUUUGAUCACUUUUUACGUGAACAUGCAUAUAAUGAAUUCAGCUCCUCUUGUACAUGAGAUUUAUUUUACCCCAAGGAUCUCUCCUCUCUCCAUCGGUAGUCAAAUUGUUAGUGCAUUUCUCCAUAAAAGAAAAGAUCUGCAGACUAGAGCAUCGAAGGUGAAUGAUGACAUUAAUUUGAAAUUUGGAUUUAUUUUUAACUCAGAAAAAAUGCUGCUGUUUUGCAAAUGAAACUGGAGUUUAAAGUCAAAUAAUAAGGUUUAAACUCCAUAUUGAGGGAAUCAUAAACCUCCAUAUUGCCCUGACCUUUGAGGGUCUUGUUCUUAAACUCUCUUCUAUAGUGAAGUCGAAAAUCUUAUUAAUUCCCAAAUGUGGUGCUCAUAUUCUCAACUCCAUACCUUUGCUUUAUUCAUCCUCCAAGGCUGGCAUAUCCUUACAGCCAUUCUUUUUUUUUUUUUUUUUUUUUUUUUGGUCAGUUGGAUUGUCCACUGCAAUUAAGCUGUGCAAGAGCAAAAUAAAAUUUGUUUGUUUGUUUGUUUGUUUCUCUAUAACUAUCUCAUGCUCUGCAGGAACCUCUACCCUUCUAGGUAAUAGGAAAGAAAAAGAUAACUAAGUACAUAAUCCACCUUCAAUCUUAGCCCCAGUAGUAAUUUUUCUAGAGUCUCUGUAGGUAAACCUGUCUUUAAUGGUGAUUGUUGAGCCUCUCUAAUUUCCAUUUCCUGUCCCCUGCUUGUCUUUAGAUAGUGGCUGGCUGUGUGGAGUGGGCACAGCGCUUGCUCUCAUGAGCCGGUCCCUGGAUCUACAUCAAGAUGGUGCCUGGAUCUGUGGAUGGACUCUGGUCCUACCUUGGCCCCUGCUGCACUGAAGCUCCUGGCAUUUCCAGGGAGCCUUGCCCCUGUGUGUUAUUGGCCUGUUUUUCUGAUGUCUGCAGCCUGACAAACAUGUCACCUGGUCUUUCUCAGCUGGGUGGCUCCUCUUUGUUGAUUCAAUGCCUCCUGGUCUUGCACCCACUCCCCGACUCAGAUACUCUGCUUGGGCUCUUCCAGGAGAUCAGUGUGCUCUGCCAGGUCCCAGGGCAGACCUGCUGGCUCUCAGCUUGGCACUGAGGAAUGCUCUGGAGUAAACACUAGCCCUCCCCACCUGCUACAUGCUCAGCCCUCUCCCCUCUGCCGUGUUGCCUCAUGUCUCAGUCAUUUCUGAUUCCUCGUUACCUAGCAGAAUGUCUGGCACUUUUGCUCAGUAAGAUGCUUUUGAAAUUGAACUGGAUUGUGAAUUCCUUUCAGUGAGUGGUCCAUGCUUUAUUUGGCAAAUAGAUGCCAAUGACUACUAUUUUCUCGAAAUUUUAUAAAGUUAAUUAUUGAUACACCCAAAGCAGAGGGAUCUUCUGAUCCCCAAAGCCUGGCUUUCAGUGUUGUUUUAACCCUUCUAAAAUCUCAAGUUUCUCUAAUAAAAACCACGAUAGUCUGAAA